CUGAGACGGCCUCUUCGCACAAGGAGAGAGCUGCUUCCACUGCUGCUGCAUCCAAGGCCUCCACAGAGUCGUCGACCUGGGGUGAAGGAGGGAAGGACAGAGACCGAUAAGGUCCAACUCGUCUCCCAUGUAAGACACUGCAACAAGGUCCUCUUCCACUAACCCCGCCUCCUCCCCGAGCUCCACCUUUACUGCAGCAUCCGCUUCACCCUCUGCACACACACACACAGAGAAAAAGUGUGGUACGGCGGUGGCUGUCUGAACUCCAUUGGUGAGGCUUCCAAUCGAGUCUCCCUCCCCAACCUGACAUCAACACAUUGAAAAAGUUUUGGAGGUUCCGAUCUGAUCGGGCUCUUACCAGGCGGGGGCUGGCCGGGAUGAGGUUGCCCUUCUUCAGCAGUUCCGACAGGAGAGGGGAGGGCG
Cyclopterus lumpus (lumpfish) is the source of this 423-nucleotide long non-coding RNA. RefSeq lists it as uncharacterized. NCBI's taxonomy places the organism in Eukaryota, Metazoa, Chordata, Actinopteri, Perciformes, Cyclopteridae. The record is from RefSeq and is a predicted model, not a curated record. The transcript has 4 exons.